This 881-nucleotide ribosomal RNA is filed under the name Chromohalobacter canadensis. RNAcentral's name for it is "bacterial SSU rRNA". It matches the Rfam family "Bacterial small subunit ribosomal RNA", at positions 70 to 943 of the family's 1533-position model. Lineage: Bacteria; Pseudomonadati; Pseudomonadota; Gammaproteobacteria; Oceanospirillales; Halomonadaceae. The record is from RNAcentral.
AACGAUCCUAGCUUGCUAGGAGGCGUCGAGCGGCGGACGGGUGAGUAAUGCAUAGGAAUCUACCCAGUCGUGGGGGAUAACCUGAGGAAACUCAGGCUAAUACCGCAUACGUCCUACGGGAGAAAGCGGGGGCUCUUCGGACCUCGCGCGAUUGGAUGAGCCUAUGUCGGAUUAGCUUGUUGGUAAGGUAACGGCUUACCAAGGCGACGAUCCGUAGCUGGUCUGAGAGGAUGAUCAGCCACACCGGGACUGAGACACGGCCCGGACUCCUACGGGAGGCAGCAGUGGGGAAUAUUGGACAAUGGGCGAAAGCCUGAUCCAGCCAUGCCGCGUGUGUGAAGAAGGCUUUCGGGUUGUAAAGCACUUUCAGCGAGGAAGAAAGCGUGCCGGCCAAUACCCGGUACGGACGACAUCACUCGCAGAAGAAGCACCGGCUAACUCCGUGCCAGCAGCCGCGGUAAUACGGAGGGUGCAAGCGUUAAUCGGAAUUACUGGGCGUAAAGCGCGCGUAGGCGGCGUGUCACGCCGGGUGUGAAAGCCCCGGGCUCAACCUGGGAACGGCAUCCGGAACGGGCAGGCUAGAGUGCAGGAGAGGAAGGUAGAAUUCCCGGUGUAGCGGUGAAAUGCGUAGAGAUCGGGAGGAAUACCAGUGGCGAAGGCGGCCUUCUGGACUGACACUGACGCUGAGGUGCGAAAGCGUGGGUAGCAAACAGGAUUAGAUACCCUGGUAGUCCACGCCGUAACGAUGUCGACUAGCCGUUGGGUCCCUUGAGGACUUAGUGGCGCAGUUAACGCGAUAAGUCGACCGCCUGGGGAGUACGGCCGCAAGGUUAAAACUCAAAUGAAUUGACGGGGGGCCCGCACAAGCGGUGGAGCAUGUG